AUUUGAGAUUUUCAGAAAAUGACAAGUAAUCGAUUGUUGCAAGGGACAAUCGAUUGUUGAAGCUGACCGUUGUCAAAUGAUUUUCAAAUACCUCAAGUAAUCGAUUAUUGGUUUUCUGUAAUCAAUGUUUUGCUCAAAAUCCGGAAGUAAUUUUUAAAACGUUAAUGAGGUAAUCGAUUAUUGAUUUGCUAUAAUGGAUGUUUUUGAUUAAAAUCUGUAAAUGAUUUUUGGAACGUUGCUGAAGUAAUC
RNAcentral lists this long non-coding RNA (249 nucleotides) under Nicotiana benthamiana. RNAcentral's name for it is "long non-coding RNA (NBEN_LNC025371)". Lineage: Eukaryota; Viridiplantae; Streptophyta; Magnoliopsida; Solanales; Solanaceae. The record is from RNAcentral.